AUUGAACGCUGGCGGCAUGCCUUACACAUGCAAGUCGAACGGCAGCACGGGAGCAAUCCUGGUGGCGAGUGGCGAACGGGUGAGUAAUAUAUCGGAACGUGCCCAGUCGUGGGGAUAACGUAGCGAAAGCUACGCUAAUACCGCAUACGAUCUAUGGAUGAAAGCGGGGGAUCGCAAGACCUCGCGCGAUUGGAGCGGCCGAUAUCAGAUUAGGUAGUUGGUGAGGUAAAGGCUCACCAAGCCGACGAUCUGUAGCUGGUCUGAGAGGACGACCAGCCACACUGGGACUGAGACACGGCCCAGACUCCUACGGGAGGCAGCAGUGGGGGAAUUUUGGACAAUGGGCGCAAGCCUGAUCCAGCAAUGCCGCGUGCAGGAUGAAGGCCGUUC
Molecule: ribosomal RNA, 390 nt
Filed under: uncultured bacterium
Lineage: Bacteria
Description: bacterial SSU rRNA
Rfam family: Bacterial small subunit ribosomal RNA
Source: RNAcentral